AGUGAACGCUGGCGGUAGGCCUAACACAUGCAAGUCGAACGGCAGCACAGUAAGAGCUUGCUCUUACGGGUGGCGAGUGGCGGACGGGUGAGGAAUACAUCGGAAUCUACUUUUUCGUGGGGGAUAACGUAGGGAAACUUACGCUAAUACCGCAUACGACCUACGGGUGAAAGCAGGGGAUCUUCGGACCUUGCGCGAUUGAAUGAGCCGAUGUCGGAUUAGCUAGUUGGCGGGGUAAAGGCCCACCAAGGCGACGAUCCGUAGCUGGUCUGAGAGGAUGGUCAGCCACACUGGAACUGAGACACAGUCCAGACUCCUACGGGAGGCAGCAGUGGGGAAUAUUGGACAAUGGGCGCAAGCCUGAUCCAGCCAUACCGCGUGGGUGAAGAAGGCCUUCGGGUUGUAAAGCCCUUUUGUUGGGAAAGAAAAGCAGCAGGUUAAUACCCCGCUGUUCUGACGGUACCCAAAGAAUAAGCACCGGCUAACUUCGUG
Molecule: ribosomal RNA, 492 nt
Filed under: uncultured bacterium
Lineage: Bacteria
Description: partial 16S ribosomal RNA
Rfam family: Bacterial small subunit ribosomal RNA
Source: RNAcentral